This is a long non-coding RNA of Syngnathoides biaculeatus (alligator pipefish), 826 nucleotides long. RefSeq lists it as uncharacterized. The record is from RefSeq and is a predicted model, not a curated record. Lineage: Eukaryota; Metazoa; Chordata; Actinopteri; Syngnathiformes; Syngnathidae. The transcript has 3 exons.
UCCUGCCCGUUGACAGCUGGAAUAGGCUUCAGCACUCCCCUGACCCUCGUGAGGAUAAGACGGGUUGCGGAAGUGCUGGAACCUACUUUAUCAGUUUAUUUAUUCAUUUUUACUGUUGUGGCGCAGAGUAGACGGAAGAAAGACAACCUAGUACUCUCAGAAAUGCUAAAUAAGGUUUCAUCAAAAGUAGUUUUUUGUGGAUGAUGAACAAACAUUCAGCCCCUUCUCCAUUCUGUUUGACGGCACACGGAGGAGUUGUUUCAUCUGCCAAGUCUCAGUCCAGAGCAAAAACUGCCUCACGUCCGCACAGUGAAAAUGUUUCCAUGUGGGAAACAAGAUGAGUCACGAGCACAAGACCGAGGGGGACGUGGGAGACUCGGAGAAGAGAAAAGGAUGGAGAAGGCGAGGGGGAAAGUGCUAUGAGGGUCCGAUAGGAGCCAAAGAAAAGUGGUGGCUGCUGGGUGGGAAUUUCAAGCAUGGGCCUUUUAAUGCAUCCUGUUAGCAUAGAUAGGCCCACCCAUAUUUGAAACAAUGGAUUAGGACCCUCCACUCCCCACCGAAAAAAAAAAAACAACUUUCCAGUGGCCACUACCCUGUCACUUUUACUAGACCCCAAUUCUUGCAUUUUGCCAAACACAAGACAGGGCAAAUCAGUUUUUUAGUCUUAACACCGCGAGCCUGCUGGCACUUGAGAUCCUGCGAGAGAGAAUUUAACAGCCUGCUGCUGCUCAACGUGAAAGUGAUUUGCAGCACUCUCCACGUUUAUGGCUCUUGUUGGAAAGACGCAACGCCAGCAGUGUUAGUCAUCGUCAGGACGGCUGCACGU